ACGAACGCUGGCGGCGUGCCUAAUACAUGCAAGUUGAGCGCUGAAGGUUGGUACUUGUACCAACUGGAUGAGCAGCGAACGGGUGAGUAACGCGUGGGGAAUCUGCCUUUGAGCGGGGGACAACAUUUGGAAACGAAUGCUAAUACCGCAUAAAAACUUUAAACACAAGUUUUAAGUUUGAAAGAUGCAAUUGCAUCACUCAAAGAUGAUCCCGCGUUGUAUUAGCUAGUUGGUGAGGUAAAGGCUCACCAAGGCGAUGAUACAUAGCCGACCUGAGAGGGUGGCCGGCCACAUUGAGACUGGGACACGGCCCAAACCCCUACGGGAGGCAGCAGUAGGGAAACUUCGGGAAUGGACGAAAGACUGACCAAGCAACGCCGCGUGAGUGGAGAAGGUUUUCGGAUCGUAAAACUCUGUUGGUAGAGAAGAACGUUGGUGAGAGUGGAAAGCUCAUCAAGUGACGGUAACUACCCAGAAAGGGACGGCUAACUACGUG
RNAcentral lists this ribosomal RNA (496 nucleotides) under uncultured bacterium. RNAcentral's name for it is "partial 16S ribosomal RNA". It matches the Rfam family "Bacterial small subunit ribosomal RNA", at positions 29 to 507 of the family's 1533-position model. The record is from RNAcentral.